This 802-nucleotide ribosomal RNA is filed under the name uncultured bacterium. RNAcentral describes it as "bacterial SSU rRNA". It matches the Rfam family "Bacterial small subunit ribosomal RNA", at positions 8 to 796 of the family's 1533-position model. The record is from RNAcentral.
AGAGUUUGAUCCUGGCUCAGGACGAACGCUGGCGGCGUGCUUAACACAUGCAAGUGGAGCGACGAAGCGGGCUUCGGCCCGUGGCAGAGCCGCGAACGGGUGAGUAACACGUGGGUAACCCACCCCGAUGACCGGGACAACCCGAGGAAACUCGGGCUAAUACCGGAUGUUCUGACUUCCUGUAAGGGAAUUCAGCAAAGAUAGCUUCGGCCUUCGCAUCGGGACGGGCCCACGGCCCAUUAGCUUGUUGGUGGGGUAACGGCCUACCAAGGCGACGAUGGGUAGCUGGUCUGAGAGGACGAUCAGCCACACUGGGACUGAGACACGGCCCAGACUCCUACGGGAGGCAGCAGUGGGGAAUCUUGCGCAAUGCGCGAAAGCGUGACGCAGCAACGCCGCGUGGGGGAAGAAGGCCUUCGGGUUGUAAACCCCUUUCAGUUGGGACGAAGCUUCCAGGGUUAAUAGCUCUGUGGAGUGACGGUACCUUCAGAAGAAGCCCCGGCUAACUACGUGCCAGCAGCCGCGGUAAUACGUAGGGGGCAAGCGUUGUCCGGAAUCAUUGGGCGUAAAGCGCGUGUAGGCGGUUCGGUAAGUCCGCUGUGAAAGUCGGGGGCUCAACCCUCGGAUGCCGGUGGAUACUGUCGGGCUUGAGUACGGAAGAGGCGAGUGGAAUUCCUGGUGUAGCGGUGAAAUGCGCAGAUAUCAGGAGGAACACCAAUUGCGAAGGCAGCUCGCUGGGACGUUACUGACGCUGAGACGCGAAAGCGUGGGGAGCAAACAGGAUUAGAUACCCUAGUAGUCC